UAUACUCGUUGACUGAUAAUGAGAUGUUGGUAAGGAGUAGAAGAGCUUCUCAUCACAAACUUGUGCACCGCUGCACUUGUCUCAACCGUAUCUUGCAUGCUGCUUCCAAAACAGGUCAGUGGUUCCCAAGACUGCCUUUGUAGCAGCAUCUGGGGUGCGUAACGAACAACACAUCUCAGCCUUGGCCUCAGAUCAACACUCUUAGCAUCCCCGGGGAUGGGGCCUGGAAAUGUGUAUUUUACAAAAUCUCCCAGGGAUGUGUGCUGUGUUAGAAGUCUUGUGUGGAAUUCAUGCAAAGAAACCAGAAGAGCCAUUUAUGAUUUGAGCUACGACCUCAGGCUAAAUCCAUCACAUUUGUACCUUAAUAUUAAGAGGGACAAUCAUCAAGUCUAUUACAAAUGAAAAUGAGCAGUUUGAGGAGAAUAAAGAUCAUGAAAAGAUUCUUGCAGUCUCUGGAUGUCCCUCACACGAUCACAGUGCUAAAACUAUCAGAAAGGCAUACUUCACCUUUCAGCAUCUGAU
Long non-coding RNA from Lemur catta (Ring-tailed lemur), 522 nucleotides. RefSeq lists it as uncharacterized. The transcript is spliced from 4 exons. Lineage: Eukaryota; Metazoa; Chordata; Mammalia; Primates; Lemuridae. The record is from RefSeq and is a predicted model, not a curated record.